UCAGGCUCAGCUCUGUCUCGAGCUCUCCGGAGUCCAGACUCUUCCGCCUCCCACCACCCGUUGCCAGAUCCGAUCCAGCGAGCUCCGGCUCCCCGCCGCCUUGUGCAUAGGAUGAGACCUCCAGGCCGACCUCCCCUACCCUCAGAUGCUGGCCACGGCGAACAGUAACGCGCGGCGGAGGAGGCAACAGGUCGCGUCUUCCACUUGGGGACGAGGCCGGCAGAGCCGGCGCGGCGGCGAGGCUGAUAGACGGGAAGAGGGCGGCCCCUGGUGGAGGAGGCAGCAACCUUUUCCUUCCUCAUGGGGACGCUGCCGGAGGAGCUGGCGGAUGGGAAGAGGGCGGCGCCCGAGCGGAGGAGGCAGCAGUCGGAGCAUGCGGGCGAGAUCGAAGGAGCUCGCGGCGAGACUGGAGGGAAGCGCGGAGGAGAGGCAGCGGUGCGCGAGCACGAGACGAGGCGUAUAGGAUGGACAAGCUCGCCGCGUACAUGACGGGAAAGCUCGUCGGCACUGUUAUCAAGUACGGCGUUCAGGUUGGUAGACUUGAGCGUGCAAAAGGGCAACAAAGGGUGAGGCAGGCAGCACUUUGUAUUGUUUUGUCGAAAAAGAGCAGACUUCAUCAUGGGGUAUCUACUUUGAACUUACACCAGCUGCAUACUCCUUGCUCACAAACAAGUUUGGGUACCCGCUUGUGCUGGCAUGGCCGCGGCUCCACAAGGCCAUGCUCGACCCCAUCGGCGCUGAGCCCUUCGCGGGCACAUAGGCUGGCGCCAGGACCGGAAGGCGAACGAGGUGAUGCUCGACGAUGAACAUCUGCUCGAGGACAUCCUGCUCGAUGAUGCUCUUCGUAGCUAGCAUCUCCAACGCGUGUAUGAGCCAAAGCUAUUUCCUGGUCUGAUUUCUCCUAGGUGUACUCUGCUUUCUGGUGUCUGAUCUGAUGGCAAGAAUAUUGUGUCGACUAUCAACCUGGACUUUAAAUUGGAUCUGAAAGCAAUAGCUCUCCAGGCACGCAAUGCAGAGUAUAACCACAAGUAUGAGCCAAAGCUAUUUCCUGGUCUGAUUUCUCCUAGGUGUACUCUGCUUUCUGGUGUCUGAUCUGAUGGCAAGAAUAUUGUGUCGACUAUCAACCUGGACUUUAAAUUGGAUCUGAAAGCAAUAGCUCUCCAGGCACGCAAUGCAGAGUAUAACCACAAGAGCAUGCCUACCAUGAGAUGAAUAUUACAAGACUGAUUGGGCCGAGAAGGCUGAGAAAGAUCAUCAUGAUGGUGCUGGUAAACAUCUUGGGUUGGUUGGCUGGAUUAUACAUUCACUCUCGAUGGAAAUCCCCAACCAGAAUGUACAUUUUCUAAACCAGGAGAAUACCAAAGAAGAAAUUCUGAUUUGUGGUUGGUGGGAUAUCAAUCCACAUAUUACAUUGAUUCUAAACCCAGAACCAACACUACAAGCACAACAUUAAGUUUAUGGGUUCGAAAGGUACAUCAAAAGUAUCUACAAACAGUUUAACUUCGAAACAAGAGAUUGAGAUGCAUGUCCGUAUGUAGGUUUAGUUGUUUUCUUAGAAAUGAAAGUAGGAGAGACCCUUACUGUUCAAUUAGGCCAUAGAAAAAACAAGUCCAUUUCUCUUGUCAAGCAAAAUAACUCAAGAAGCUAAUUAAUAGUGCAAACGGAGCUUACUUUUUUCUAAGGAAAUUAUUUGCUUCACAUGACAUUUGUUCCUGCAAUAUUAUAAUUAUAAUUCAAUGUAUUGUUGGUAAUAGGCAAAUUUAUAUCUGAACAAAUUCUAUGAGAAAGCAACGGGGCUCCCUGAAACUACACGGCUCCCUGAAACUACACAUUAUACCCUUUGUGUUAGUCAAGAUCAAAAAAUAGCUAGGCAUUGAUAAUCAUGAUUGUACCUUAUAAUCAAGUUAUUUGUUGCGUUGAUGUCUGGGUUAAAGUAUAUCCGAGACUGCUCAGUCGUACCCAAGAUAGCAUCUGAAAUUCAGUGCAUACAAUCAGAGGCAUGUUACCUCCAGAAAUCCCUAUCAAAACACACUGGUUUCCUUCCCCGCAUUACAUAUGCCAAAAGAGACUAAGCAUAGCCUUAACCCAUUUAGUUGUCUAGAUAACCAGAUUAAAUCAUAAGCAUUACAUGGUUCUUAUUCCAGUGAAAAGGAAUACCGUUGAAUAAUGAUUACCAAUGCAUAUGUCAGCAUGCAUAAUACAGAAACCACACGUUUAAUCAUUUAGGGGGGGCAGAUACAUUUGUUUUUAGAGCCUACAGAUG
Molecule: long non-coding RNA, 2263 nt
Organism: Triticum aestivum (bread wheat)
Lineage: Eukaryota; Viridiplantae; Streptophyta; Magnoliopsida; Poales; Poaceae
Exons: 5
Source: RefSeq, a predicted model, not a curated record